UACGUAGGGAGCAAGUGUUGUCCGGAAUCAUUGGGCGUAAAGCGCGCGUAGGUGGCCUCGUAAGUCCGCUGUGAAAGUCAAAGGCUCAACCUUUGAAAGCCGGUGGAUACUGUGAGGCUAGAGUACGGAAGAGGCGAGUGGAAUUCCUGGUGUAGCGGUGGAAUGCGCAGAUAUCAGGAGGAACACCAAUAGCGAAGGCAGCUCGCUGGGACGUAACUGACACUGAGGCGCGAAAGCGUGGGGAGCGAACAGG
This 253-nucleotide ribosomal RNA is filed under the name uncultured bacterium. Its description in RNAcentral is "partial 16S ribosomal RNA". It matches the Rfam family "Bacterial small subunit ribosomal RNA", at positions 524 to 776 of the family's 1533-position model. The record is from RNAcentral.